This 253-nucleotide ribosomal RNA is filed under the name uncultured bacterium. RNAcentral describes it as "partial 16S ribosomal RNA". It matches the Rfam family "Bacterial small subunit ribosomal RNA", at positions 524 to 776 of the family's 1533-position model. The record is from RNAcentral.
UACGUAGGGUGCGAGCGUUAAUCGGAAUUACUGGGCGUAAAGCGUGCGCAGGCGGUGCUGUAAGACAGGCGUGAAAUCCCCGGGCUUAACCUGGGAAUGGCGCUUGUGACUGCAGUGCUGGAGUGCGGCAGAGGGGGAUGGAAUUCCGCGUGUAGCAGUGAAAUGCGUAGAUAUGCGGAGGAACACCAAUGGCGAAGGCAAUCCCCUGGGCCUGUACUGACGCUCAUGCACGAAAGCGUGGGGAGCAAACAGG